Molecule: long non-coding RNA, 903 nt
Organism: Rhineura floridana
Lineage: Eukaryota; Metazoa; Chordata; Lepidosauria; Squamata; Rhineuridae
Exons: 3
Source: RefSeq, a predicted model, not a curated record
GAGACGCUUCUCUUUGGGCCGCAGCACUUUAUAGCAAACGCGGAGCACUGCUGACGUCAGAGGCCUUAGUCUCCGCCCCGUUACUCUCUCGAUCGCUUUCUUCCAAUACCGAAAAAAGGCAGGCAGUGAGCAGGGCAGCUUUGAGUGAAGCAUUGGGGACCUCCUCGCUCGCGCCAAAGUUGAAGUGAAGGAAGGAGGAGAAGGACGUCGCGAAAGGGACCCGGGUAGGAUUCUCUCGGGUGCGAGCUUCCAACUUGCAAGGUCUUGUUUAUAAAAAUAGCCACGCUGGGAUUACUGAGGCUACUGUAUCAAUCACCUUUGAUAAUUUUGAGAAGAAGCGGAGUCCCCUAGGAUUUGAGAAGCAUGACGAGGUAACAGUCACAAGGCAGGCGCUUCUAACAUGUGCAGUGUGAUGAGACAAACUGCAGAGGGUGCCCUAUGACUGAUUCUUUGCAACAGAUUUCCACCCAGAACGGCACAUCCGUCAGUACAUUAAAAAGAAAGAAAGAAAAGUGGGUGGUUCGAUGAUUAGCAGGACCACAAACACAGGACCACAUGAAAUCAUUCUAGGCAAGUCUCGUCAUUCUGCACUCGGGCGGCCAACUGUGCCAGUUGCCAGUAAAGUCUCUUAGAAUGUGAUGGUGCAAUCCCCCUCCAAUGGCUACCCUCCUUGCUCUCGUUUUUCGUGAGUCGCUGUGGUUCUUAGAAUUACACUGUGUACUGUAGGCUGAGAUGAAGUGGUUCUCUGGAGAGCAGCAGCAGCAGCAAAUGACUAAAUUAUUUUAAAUGCACUCAGAGAUGAGUUCAUAAGAGGGAGACUCCAUUUAUUUGGAAAUAGGAAAUGAAAUUCAAGUCAAUAAACUCUUCACAUCAAGCAUAAAUCUGAUUUUUUUGGGGGGGGGG